Molecule: ribosomal RNA, 497 nt
Filed under: uncultured bacterium
Lineage: Bacteria
Description: partial 16S ribosomal RNA
Rfam family: Bacterial small subunit ribosomal RNA
Source: RNAcentral
GAUGAACGCUGGCGGCGUGCCUAAUACAUGCAAGUCGAGCGAACAGACGAGGAGCUUGCUCCUCUGACGUUAGCGGCGGACGGGUGAGUAACACGUGGAUAACCUACCUAUAAGACUGGGAUAACUUCGGGAAACCGGAGCUAAUACCGGAUAAUAUAUUGAACCGCAUGGUUCAAUAGUGAAAGACGGUUUUGCUGUCACUUAUAGAUGGAUCCACGCCGCAUUAGCUAGUUGGUAAGGUAACGGCUUACCAAGGCGACGGUGCGUAGCCGACCUGAGAGGGUGAUCGGCCACACUGGAAAUGAGACACGGUCCAGACUCCUACGGGAGGCAGCAGUAGGGAAUCUUCCGCAAUGGGCGAAAGCCUGACGGAGCAACGCCGCGUGAGUGAUGAAGGUCUUCGGAUCGUAAAACUCUGUUAUUAGGGAAGAACAAAUGUGUAAGUAACUAUGCACGUCUUGACGGUACCUAAUCAGAAAGCCACGGCUAACUACGUG